This 231-nucleotide long non-coding RNA is filed under the name Elaeis guineensis (African oil palm). RNAcentral's name for it is "long non-coding RNA (EGUI_LNC016701)". Lineage: Eukaryota; Viridiplantae; Streptophyta; Magnoliopsida; Arecales; Arecaceae. The record is from RNAcentral.
CUCCUAUAUGAUUGAGCACAUCGGUGAUUGAGUUUGACGUCAGGAUUAGAUUUGUCCAUAUGCAUCGUAGAAUACCUUAUUUUUGGAUCUUUUGAAAUGCACACAUGCUACGUCAGUAUGAGCACCUGCUUGUAAAAAAAAAAAAAAAAAAAAAAAAAAAAGAUCUCAUCAAAAGUGUGGACGGCUACACACAAAAGGAGGGGAGAUAAAUCAAUCCAAUCAGUUACAAUC